AUAACUGUGAAGAGUUGAGAUCCUGCGCAGUGGAAACAAGGAAACACUUGUGCCUGAUCUUAAAA
This 65-nucleotide non-coding RNA is filed under the name Prochlorococcus marinus str. NATL2A. RNAcentral's name for it is "Cyano-1 RNA". It matches the Rfam family "Cyano-1 RNA". Lineage: Bacteria; Bacillati; Cyanobacteriota; Cyanophyceae; Synechococcales; Prochlorococcaceae. The record is from Rfam by way of RNAcentral.